UACCCGUUGGUAAUCCUACCCGUUGGUAAUUCUACCCGAUGGUAAUCCUACCCGAAGGUGCUUUUACCCGAUGGUAUUCCUACCUGUUGGUAAUCCUACCCGAUGGUAAUCCUACCCGAUGGUAAUCCUACCCGAAGGUGCUUCUACCCGAUGGUAUUCCUACCUGUUGGUAAUCCUACCCGAUGGUGCUUCUACCCGUCGGUAAUCCUACCCGUUGGUAAUCUCACCCGUUGGUAAUCCUACCCGAAGGUGCUUCUACCCGUUGGUAAUCCUACCCGAUGGUAAUCCUACCCGAUGGUAAUCCUACCUGAAGGUGCUUCUACCCGUUGGUAAUCCUACCCGUUGGAAAUCCUACCCGAUGGUAAUCCUACCCGUUGGUAAUCCUAGCGCUAUUUGGCUGCUGAUGUCUUUGUUAACAUGCUUCCAAAGAAGGAAAGCGAUACGCAAGCUGACUGAAUGCCAAUUUGUCCUGACAAUCAAAAUGGGUAUUAUUUAUCUGGUGGAUUUUUUAAGCUGCUGUGAGUACACUAGUUCAUGCCAAGAUAUAACUUGGUUAACUCUCAAAAGAAAACGUUCACUCUCUGUGGCUUUUACUUCAGCCUGUCCAAACCGCGCAGGGCUCAUCUUUGUGUUUCCCCCCUUUUCACUUCUCAGACAUAAAACUGAUGAAUUUUCGCUCAUAUUUCAAGUUGGACUGAUGGCAGGUGACACCCCC
This is a long non-coding RNA of Gasterosteus aculeatus aculeatus (three-spined stickleback), 715 nucleotides long. The record is from Ensembl. Lineage: Eukaryota; Metazoa; Chordata; Actinopteri; Perciformes; Gasterosteidae.